UACGGAGGAUGCAAGCGUUAUCCGGAAUGAUUGGGUGUAAAGCGUCCGCAGGUGGCUGUGUAAGUCUGCUGUCAAAGAGCGAAGCUCAACUUCGUAAAGGCAGUGGAAACUACACGGCUAGAGUGCGUUCGGGGCAGAGGGAAUUCCUGGUGUAGCGGUGAAAUGCGUAGAGAUCAGGAAGAACACCGGUGGCGAAGGCGCUCUGCUAGGCCGCAACUGACACUGAGGGACGAAAGCUAGGGGAGCGAAUGGG
This 253-nucleotide ribosomal RNA is filed under the name uncultured bacterium. Its description in RNAcentral is "partial 16S ribosomal RNA". It matches the Rfam family "Bacterial small subunit ribosomal RNA", at positions 524 to 776 of the family's 1533-position model. The record is from RNAcentral.